AGGGAAUCUUCCACAAUGGACGAAAGUCUGAUGGAGCAACGCCGCGUGAGUGAUGAAGGGUUUCGGCUCGUAAAACUCUGUUGUUGGAGAAGAACGGGGUGUCAGAGUAACUGUUGACAUCGUGACGGUAUCCAACCAGAAAGCCACGGCUAACUACGUGCCAGCAGCCGCGGUAAUACGUAGGUGGCAAGCGUUGUCCGGAUUUAUUGGGCGUAAAGCGAGCGCAGGCGGUUUUUUAGGUCUGAUGUGAAAGCCUUCGGCUUAACCGGAGAAGUGCAUCGGAAACCGGGAGACUCGAGUGCAGAAGAGGACAGUG
RNAcentral lists this ribosomal RNA (316 nucleotides) under uncultured bacterium. RNAcentral's name for it is "partial 16S ribosomal RNA". It matches the Rfam family "Bacterial small subunit ribosomal RNA", at positions 356 to 663 of the family's 1533-position model. The record is from RNAcentral.